Molecule: ribosomal RNA, 242 nt
Filed under: Clostridioides difficile
Lineage: Bacteria; Bacillati; Bacillota; Clostridia; Peptostreptococcales; Peptostreptococcaceae
Description: partial 23S ribosomal RNA
Rfam family: Bacterial large subunit ribosomal RNA
Source: RNAcentral
AAUCGAAGCAGUGAACUUAAGCCCCAGUAAACGGCGGCCGUAACUAUAACGGUCCUAAGGUAGCGAAAUUCCUUGUCGGGUAAGUUCCGACCCGCACGAAAGGCGUAACGAUUUUGGCACUGUCUCAACAACAGACUCGGUGAAAUUGUAAUUCCGGUGAAGAUGCCGGCUACCUGCGACAGCACUGAAAGACCCCAUGGAGCUUUACUGUAGCUUGCCAUUGGGUCUUGGUACUACAUGUA